GACGGAGGAUGCAAGUGUUAUCCGGAAUCACUGGGCGUAAAGCGUCUGUAGGUGGUCAAAUAAGUCAACUGUUAAAUCUUGAGGCUCAACCUCAAAAUCGCAGUCGAAACUAUUCGACUAGAGUAUAGUAGAGGUAAAGGGAAUUUCCAGUGGAGCGGUGAAAUGCGUAGAGAUUGGAAAGAACACCGAUGGCGAAGGCACUUUACUGGGCUAUUACUAACACUGAGAGACGAAAGCUAGGGUAGCAAAUGGG
This 253-nucleotide ribosomal RNA is filed under the name uncultured bacterium. Its description in RNAcentral is "partial 16S ribosomal RNA". It matches the Rfam family "Bacterial small subunit ribosomal RNA", at positions 524 to 776 of the family's 1533-position model. The record is from RNAcentral.